This 24-nucleotide microRNA is filed under the name Glycine max (soybean). Its description in RNAcentral is "gma-miR4353". The record is from miRBase by way of RNAcentral. Lineage: Eukaryota; Viridiplantae; Streptophyta; Magnoliopsida; Fabales; Fabaceae.
CAAGUCGUAGCCGGUGUUAUUACU